Molecule: long non-coding RNA, 671 nt
Organism: Nanorana parkeri
Lineage: Eukaryota; Metazoa; Chordata; Amphibia; Anura; Dicroglossidae
Exons: 3
Source: RefSeq, a predicted model, not a curated record
GUCACGUAGGUGGUGUGGUAUGUGUGAUUAUGUGCUGGCUUUUGCACUCAGUCUGGAAUCUUGUGUAUAUAGAGAACAGCAGAGCUGCUCACUUCCAACAGGAACACAUUGAGAAUCACUGCCCUCUACUGAGCAUCUCCAUCUACAGCAAAUCCCAGCCGUCUACUGAGCAUCUCCAUCCACAGCAAAUCCCAGCCCUCUACUGAGCAUCUCCAUCCACAGCAAAUCCCAGCCGUCUACUGAGCAUCUCCAUCCACAGCAAAUCCCAGCUGUCUACUGAGCAUCUCCAUCCACAGCAACCAUGGACUCUCAGGACUGCAAAUGCGCACAAGGCGCCCCCUGUACCUGCCAGGAUUCCUGUAAGUGUCAGGAUUGCCAAUGCGAGUCAUGCAAUAAAAGCAGCUGCUCCUGCUGUCCAGACAAGGGUGGUAAAUGCAACGAGGGCUGUCAAUGUGCCAGCGAAUCUGAGACCUGCAAAUGCUGCAAGUGACCAGUGCUUCAAUGAGGAUGGAAUUCAUAACAAUUUAUUCUGUAUAUUGUGAUGUGCUAUGUGAUCUACAUGUUUAGUAUAACCUGAUGCCUGCAGUGUUAGUAUGAUGUCUGGGACAAUGCUUCAGCACUUGUGUUUCUUAUUAAAGGUGUCUAUAAAGUAUGAGUCAAAUGCCAUCCAU